Molecule: ribosomal RNA, 435 nt
Filed under: uncultured bacterium
Lineage: Bacteria
Description: bacterial SSU rRNA
Rfam family: Bacterial small subunit ribosomal RNA
Source: RNAcentral
GACGAACGCUGGCGGCGUGCCUAACACAUGCAAGUCGAACGGACGAGGCCCCUUCGGGGACCGAGUUAGUGGCGAACGGGUGAGUAACGCGUGAGCAACCUGCCUUUCAGAGGGGGACAACAGUUGGAAACGACUGCUAAUACCGCAUAACGUAUCGAGGGGGCAUCCUCUUGAUACCAAAGAUUUAUCGCUGAAAGAUGGGCUCGCGUCUGAUUAGCUAGUUGGUGGGGUAACGGCCCACCAAGGCGACGAUCAGUAGCCGGUCUGAGAGGAUGAACGGCCACAUUGGGACUGAGAUACGGCCCAGACUCCUACGGGAGGCAGCAGUGGGGAAUAUUGGGCAAUGGGCGAAAGCCUGACCCAGCAACGCCGCGUGAAGGAAGAAGGCCUUCGGGUUGUAAACUUCUUUUACCAGGGACGAAGGACGUGACGGUA